Molecule: long non-coding RNA, 290 nt
Filed under: Elaeis guineensis (African oil palm)
Lineage: Eukaryota; Viridiplantae; Streptophyta; Magnoliopsida; Arecales; Arecaceae
Description: long non-coding RNA (EGUI_LNC042857)
Source: RNAcentral
AGUCAAGAUUUGAUCCUGCAGUCUCUCUCCAACUUCUUCUCUCAGUUUGUCAUAAAUUACCAUAUGAACAAACUAAACAUCAGUCUGCCUGAGCUGUUAAAUAUGUUGAAAACAGUAGAAAGCCAUUUCAAGGGUAAAAAGGCUUUGGUUCUUUUUAUCGAUAGGAUCAACAAGAAGAAACGUAAGAAGGGUUCCAAAAAAAAGCUGAAACCCUAAGGCUGGCAUCUUCAAGAAGAAGACGAAGAAAGUCUCCGUCAAAGGUACUUGCUAUCACUAUGGCAAGGAGGGCU